This 515-nucleotide ribosomal RNA is filed under the name uncultured bacterium. RNAcentral describes it as "partial 16S ribosomal RNA". It matches the Rfam family "Bacterial small subunit ribosomal RNA", at positions 28 to 523 of the family's 1533-position model. The record is from RNAcentral.
GAUGAACGCUGGCGGCGUGCCUAAUACAUGCAAGUCGAGCGAAUGGAUUAAGAGCUUGCUCUUAUGAAGUUAGCGGCGGACGGGUGAGUAACACGUGGGUAACCUGCCCAUAAGACUGGGAUAACUCCGGGAAACCGGGGCUAAUACCGGGUAACAUUUUGAACCGCAUGGUUCGAAAUUGAAAGGCGGCUUCGGCUGUCACUUAUGGAUGGACCCGCGUCGCAUUAGCUAGUCGGUGAGGUAACGGCUCACCAAGGCAACGAUGCGUAGCCGACCUGAGAGGGUGAUCGGCCACACUGGGACUGAGACACGGCCCAGACUCCUACGGGAGGCAGCAGUAGGGAAUCUUCCGCAAUGGACGAAAGUCUGACGGAGCAACGCCGCGUGAGUGAUGAAGGCUUUCGGGUCGUAAAACUCUGUUGUUAGGGAAGAACAAGUGCUAGUUGGAUAAGCUGGCACCUUGACGGUACCUAACCAGAAAGCCACGGCUAACUACGUGCCAGCAGCCGCCGUAA